UACUUAUGGUGCGAGCGUGAAUCGGAAUUACUGGGCGUAAAGCGUGCGCAGGCGGAUUGUUAAGCAAGACGUGAAAUCCCCGGGCUUAACCUGGGAAUGGCGUUUUGAACUGGCAGUCUAGAGUGUGUCAGAGGGGGGUAGAAUUCCACGUGUAGCAGUGAAAUGCGUAGAGAUGUGGAGGAAUACCAAUGGCGAAGGCAGCCCCCUGGGAUAACACUGACGCUCAUGUACGAAAGCGUGGGUAGCACACAGGAUUCGAUACCCGGGUAGUCC
RNAcentral lists this ribosomal RNA (273 nucleotides) under uncultured bacterium. RNAcentral's name for it is "partial 16S ribosomal RNA". It matches the Rfam family "Bacterial small subunit ribosomal RNA", at positions 524 to 796 of the family's 1533-position model. The record is from RNAcentral.